RNAcentral lists this ribosomal RNA (324 nucleotides) under uncultured eukaryote. Its description in RNAcentral is "partial 18S ribosomal RNA". It matches the Rfam family "Eukaryotic small subunit ribosomal RNA", at positions 1470 to 1796 of the family's 1831-position model. The record is from RNAcentral.
CCCUUAGAUGUUCUGGGCCGCACGCGCGCUACACUGAUGCAUUCAACGAGUUUCUUCCUGGUCCGAGAGGAAUGGGUAACCUUUUGAAAGUGCAUCGUGAUAGGGAUAGGCUAUUGCAAUUAUUGGUCUUCAACGAGGAAUUCCUAGUAGACGUAGUUCAUCAGACUGCAUCGAUUACGUCCCUGCCCUUUGUACACACCGCCCGUCGCUCCUACCGAUUGAAUGCUCAGGUGAGCCAUUCGGACUUUCAUCAUGCAGGUUUCCAGUUUUGAUGAAGGAAAGUCUUGCGAACCUUAUCAUUUAGAGGAAGGAGAAGUCGUAACA